GUCCCCGUAGUUCAAUGGAUAGAAUAUCUCCCUCCGAAGGAGAAGAUUGAGGUUCGAUUCCUCAUGGGGACA
RNAcentral lists this transfer RNA (72 nucleotides) under Candidatus Liptonbacteria bacterium RIFCSPLOWO2_01_FULL_52_25. Its description in RNAcentral is "tRNA-Arg". It matches the Rfam family "tRNA". From Rfam's summary of the family: Transfer RNA (tRNA) molecules are approximately 80 nucleotides in length. Their secondary structure includes four short double-helical elements and three loops (D, anti-codon, and T loops). The record is from RNAcentral. Lineage: Bacteria; Candidatus Liptoniibacteriota.